Molecule: transfer RNA, 75 nt
Filed under: Candidatus Amesbacteria bacterium RIFCSPHIGHO2_01_FULL_47_34
Lineage: Bacteria; Candidatus Amesiibacteriota
Also listed under: 1 other name
Description: tRNA-Cys
Rfam family: tRNA
About the family: Transfer RNA (tRNA) molecules are approximately 80 nucleotides in length.
Source: RNAcentral
GACCUGGUAGCCAAGUAGUAAGGCAAGGGUCUGCAAAACCCUCAUACGCGGGUGCAAUUCCCGCCCAGGUCUCCG